Molecule: ribosomal RNA, 2987 nt
Filed under: Salmonella enterica subsp. enterica serovar Braenderup
Lineage: Bacteria; Pseudomonadati; Pseudomonadota; Gammaproteobacteria; Enterobacterales; Enterobacteriaceae
Description: bacterial LSU rRNA
Rfam family: Bacterial large subunit ribosomal RNA
Source: RNAcentral
UUAAGCGACUAAGCGUACACGGUGGAUGCCCUGGCAGUCAGAGGCGAUGAAGGGCGUGCUAAUCUGCGAUAAGCGCCGGUAAGGUGAUAUGAACCGUUAUAACCGGCGAUACCCGAAUGGGGAAACCCAGUGUGAUUCGUCACACUAUCAUUAACUGAAUCCAUAGGUUAAUGAGGCGAACCGGGGGAACUGAAACAUCUAAGUACCCCGAGGAAAAGAAAUCAACCGAGAUUCCCCCAGUAGCGGCGAGCGAACGGGGAGGAGCCCAGAGCCUGAAUCAGCAUGUGUGUUAGUGGAAGCGUCUGGAAAGGCGCGCGAUACAGGGUGACAGCCCCGUACACAAAAGCGCAUGUGCUGUGAGCUCGAUGAGUAGGGCGGGACACGUGGUAUCCUGUCUGAAUAUGGGGGGACCAUCCUCCAAGGCUAAAUACUCCUGACUGACCGAUAGUGAACCAGUACCGUGAGGGAAAGGCGAAAAGAACCCCGGCGAGGGGAGUGAAAAAGAACCUGAAACCGUGUACGUACAAGCAGUGGGAGCACAGGUUUACCUGUGUGACUGCGUACCUUUUGUAUAAUGGGUCAGCGACUUAUAUUCUGUAGCAAGGUUAACCGUAUAGGGGAGCCGUAGGGAAACCGAGUCUUAACCGGGCGUUAAGUUGCAGGGUAUAGACCCGAAACCCGGUGAUCUAGCCAUGGGCAGGUUGAAGGUUGGGUAACACUAACUGGAGGACCGAACCGACUAAUGUUGAAAAAUUAGCGGAUGACCUGUGGCUGGGGGUGAAAGGCCAAUCAAACCGGGAGAUAGCUGGUUCUCCCCGAAAGCUAUUUAGGUAGCGCCUCGUGAAUUCAUCUCCGGGGGUAGAGCACUGUUUCGGCUAGGGGGCCAUCCCGGCUUACCAACCCGAUGCAAACUGCGAAUACCGGAGAAUGUUAUCACGGGAGACACACGGCGGGUGCUAACGUCCGUCGUGAAGAGGGAAACAACCCAGACCGCCAGCUAAGGUCCCAAAGUCAUGGUUAAGUGGGAAACGAUGUGGGAAGGCCCAGACAGCCAGGAUGUUGGCUUAGAAGCAGCCAUCAUUUAAAGAAAGCGUAAUAGCUCACUGGUCGAGUCGGCCUGCGCGGAAGAUGUAACGGGGCUAAACCAUGCACCGAAGCUGCGGCAGCGAACGUAUCACUUAAAGCGAUUCAGCGGGUUACGAUUGACGGAGCGAAGCGACGUCAAAGCGUAUACAAAGUCGAGUCGGUUUAAGGAUACGUUCGUUGGGUAGGGGAGCGUUCUGUAAGCCUGUGAAGGUGGCCUGUGAGGGUUGCUGGAGGUAUCAGAAGUGCGAAUGCUGACAUAAGUAACGAUAAAGCGGGUGAAAAGCCCGCUCGCCGGAAGACCAAGGGUUCCUGUCCAACGUUAAUCGGGGCAGGGUGAGUCGACCCCUAAGGCGAGGCCGAAAGGCGUAGUCGAUGGGAAACGGGUUAAUAUUCCCGUACUUGGUGUUACUGCGAAGGGGGGACGGAGAAGGCUAUGUUGGCCGGGCGACGGUUGUCCCGGUUUAAGCGUGUAGGUGUGUGUUCCAGGUAAAUCCGGUUCACUUUAACACUGAGGCGUGACGACGAGGCACUACGGUGCUGAAGCAACAAAUGCCCUGCUUCCAGGAAAAGCCUCUAAGCAUCAGGUAACAUCAAAUCGUACCCCAAACCGACACAGGUGGUCAGGUAGAGAAUACCAAGGCGCUUGAGAGAACUCGGGUGAAGGAACUAGGCAAAAUGGUGCCGUAACUUCGGGAGAAGGCACGCUGACACGUAGGUGAAGUGAUUUACUCAUGGAGCUGAAGUCAGUCGAAGAUACCAGCUGGCUGCAACUGUUUAUUAAAAACACAGCACUGUGCAAACACGAAAGUGGACGUAUACGGUGUGACGCCUGCCCGGUGCCGGAAGGUUAAUUGAUGGGGUCAGCGCAAGCGAAGCUCCUGAUCGAAGCCCCGGUAAACGGCGGCCGUAACUAUAACGGUCCUAAGGUAGCGAAAUUCCUUGUCGGGUAAGUUCCGACCUGCACGAAUGGCGUAAUGAUGGCCAGGCUGUCUCCACCCGAGACUCAGUGAAAUUGAACUCGCUGUGAAGAUGCAGUGUACCCGCGGCAAGACGGAAAGACCCCGUGAACCUUUACUAUAGCUUGACACUGAACAUUGAGCCUUGAUGUGUAGGAUAGGUGGGAGGCUUUGAAGUGUGGACGCCAGUCUGCAUGGAGCCGACCUUGAAAUACCACCCUUUAAUGUUUGAUGUUCUAACGUGGACCCGUGAUCCGGGUUGCGGACAGUGUCUGGUGGGUAGUUUGACUGGGGCGGUCUCCUCCUAAAGAGUAACGGAGGAGCACGAAGGUUGGCUAAUCCUGGUCGGACAUCAGGAGGUUAGUGCAAUGGCAUAAGCCAGCUUGACUGCGAGCGUGACGGCGCGAGCAGGUGCGAAAGCAGGUCAUAGUGAUCCGGUGGUUCUGAAUGGAAGGGCCAUCGCUCAACGGAUAAAAGGUACUCCGGGGAUAACAGGCUGAUACCGCCCAAGAGUUCAUAUCGACGGCGGUGUUUGGCACCUCGAUGUCGGCUCAUCACAUCCUGGGGCUGAAGUAGGUCCCAAGGGUAUGGCUGUUCGCCAUUUAAAGUGGUACGCGAGCUGGGUUUAGAACGUCGUGAGACAGUUCGGUCCCUAUCUGCCGUGGGCGCUGGAGAACUGAGGGGGGCUGCUCCUAGUACGAGAGGACCGGAGUGGACGCAUCACUGGUGUUCGGGUUGUCAUGCCAAUGGCACUGCCCGGUAGCUAAAUGCGGAAGAGAUAAGUGCUGAAAGCAUCUAAGCACGAAACUUGCCCCGAGAUGAGUUCUCCCUGAGACUUAAAGUCUCCUGAAGGAACGUUGAAGACGACGACGUUGAUAGGCCGGGUGUGUAAGCGCAGCGAUGCGUUGAGCUAACCGGUACUAAUGAACCGUGAGGCUUAACCUU